CAACUGGAUCCCUAGUACGGCGAGUGAAGCGGGAAGAGCUCAAAUUUGAAAUCUGGUAGCCUUCGGUUGCCCGAGUUGUAAUCUAGAGAAGUGUUUUCCGUGCCGGCCCAUGUACAAGUCCCUUGGAACAGGGCGUCAUAGAGGGUGAGAAUCCCGUCCUUGACAUGGACCCCCGGUGCUUUGUGAUACACUUUCAACGAGUCGAGUUGUUUGGGAAUGCAGCUCAAAAUGGGUGGUGAAUUCCAUCUAAAGCUAAAUAUUGGCGAGAGACCGAUAGCGAACAAGUACCGUGAGGGAAAGAUGAAAAGCACUUUGGAAAGAGAGUUAAACAGUACGUGAAAUUGUUGAAAGGGAAACGAUUGAAGUCAGUCAUGCUCUUUGGUAUUUAUAUCAUUGAGUGGGGUCAACAUCAGUUUUGAGCGAUGGAUAAAGGCACUAGGAAGGUAGCACUCUCGGGUGAACUUAUAGCCUAGCGUCAUAUACAUUGUUUGGGACUGAGGAACGCAGCAUGCCUUUAUGGCCGGGAUUCGUCCACGUACAUGCUUAGGAUGUUGACAUAAUGGCUUUAAACGACCCGUCUUG
This 582-nucleotide ribosomal RNA is filed under the name Cryptococcus sp. LMSA2.08.023. RNAcentral describes it as "eukaryotic LSU rRNA". It matches the Rfam family "Eukaryotic large subunit ribosomal RNA", at positions 66 to 656 of the family's 3401-position model. Lineage: Eukaryota; Fungi; Basidiomycota; Tremellomycetes; Tremellales; Cryptococcaceae. The record is from RNAcentral.